UACGGAAGGUCCGGGCGUUAUCCGGAUUUAUUGGGUUUAAAGGGAGUGUAGGCGGCCCGUUAAGCGUGUUGUGAAAUGCGGAUGCUCAACAUCCGCACUGCAGCGCGAACUGGGGGGCUUGAGUGCACGCAACGUAGGCGGAAUUCAUGGUGUAGCGGUGAAAUGCUUAGAUAUCAUGAGGAACUCCGAUCGCGAAGGCAGCUUACGGGAGUGCGACUGACGCUUAAGCUCGAAGGUGCGGGUAU
This 245-nucleotide ribosomal RNA is filed under the name uncultured Prevotella sp. RNAcentral describes it as "partial 16S ribosomal RNA". It matches the Rfam family "Bacterial small subunit ribosomal RNA", at positions 524 to 768 of the family's 1533-position model. The record is from RNAcentral. Lineage: Bacteria; Pseudomonadati; Bacteroidota; Bacteroidia; Bacteroidales; Prevotellaceae.